CCCGCUAUUCAGGCCGCUUCCUCUCCUCCCACCGCUUCCGACGAGCCUUCCUGCCGCUCAGACGCCAGCAGGAGCCUGCGUGAGCACCAUCCGUCCCUGAGUCAUGAAUGAUUGUUCUUACAUGGGCGUCGGGCGCGCUUUCAAACAAGGAAAUCCACCUUACGUAACGUGCCGCCGAACAGACGGGGUGACGUCUAAAUUACCUGGCGCUCAUGACGUCGAUGAAAUGGCACCUGGAUCGGUGAACUGGAGGCCGCGCGAGGACACGCGUCAGUCUCCGUGGCACCAGGAUCCAAUCAUCACGAUUUAAAUCCAAUUUAGACGAAGAGUGGCUGCGCGUCAACAGCUCUCUGCUUCCAGCGUCUCACCGUUAAAUGUCAUUAGCGCCGCUUGUUUCACUGUUUUCGGUGUCACGCGCAUUCAGCGCCUCUCGCCUUCACCUUCGGCGCCGCGGUGUUGCUGUUAAUGGACGCACGUGUGGCUGCUAAUGGAUCCCCGCAGAGCGUCGGGGAGGCGCGUCUGUCAAACGUGGAGGCAGGUGAUUCACCAACCAAUCAGCCGUGCGUCGGAAAAAAAGAGCAUCGCGAGCUCAGACGGCGGCCCGUUCGGCGUUCCGUCUCCUGGAGGGAACAUAAAGUACAGAGACUGUCUGUCGUAGUGGAGAUGAGCAGCGGCGGAACCAAAUGAGACCGGUGUCAAGUCAAACAUCUGCAUGAACAGAUGUGGACCCGGACCCAGCUCAUGUCCUGUUAACGUCACCGGUGCUGGAACCAGCUCCUCCUGACGCGCUCACUUCAAGGUGUCAAUGACGAUUAGGACUCUAACGGUGGAACCGGCGGCCCGCGAGGAGACGCGCCUCCUGACCCACUGAUCCACUGUCCGACUGAUCCACUUCCUCCUCUUAAGUCGCCGGGCGCGUCGCACCUCCGCCGGUUUUGCCUCCCAGCGUCAGGGCGCUGCGGGGACCGCUUUUUUGCCACGUGCGAGCGAACGUGGCCGGUCGUUAACGACUGUCAUCAUUUCAGCCCUGUAGAAGAGAACGAGGCUUCGCGCAGAAUCCCUGAUGUGCUCGUGAGUGUUCGUCUGGGGACCAGUCGGAGGCGUUGGUUCACUUACUGGAGUUCAACACUUUGCCGCACGUGGCUGCAAGUCCCGUCUGGAACCAGAUUAAUCUGCUGCAACUAAAAAUAGCCAUCAAGAUGCUUCUGCGCGGCGUCCAGCUGCGCGUAACACGCUGCCCGGUGCGUGAGCGGUCGGGUCCGGUGGGGAACCCCUCCGGAGAGCCCGAGCCGCGCUGAGGCCUAAUGGUGAGAACGAGGAAGAUGUACGAGGGGCGAAACAUGAAAUCUCACACUUAAUUAGGUCCGCUCCAGAUGUCGACGUGGCUCCUGGAACAGCUGGCGCUUAGCUGUAAUUGCCUCGCUCCCCGAGCUCUAAGGUGCACGUGCGUUUGGACGUCGUCAUCGGUCCACGGGGAAACGUCCUGUCUCGGCUCGGCUCCCUGAUUCUGCUGACACGACACAAUCUUAAUAAGAGAGCAAACGCGCCAUUAGGACACCUGGUAACAAGAGGUAAAAAGAUAUAUAUAUAUAUAUAAAUUGUUGUUUAAAGGGUCCAGCCGUGAUUGGCGCCCGGGCUCUCCCUCUCCCACGCGGAGCCACUUUGUCCUCAGCGCUCAGGUAACGUGGAAAUGACUGGAAUCCAUCAGCGGUCACGUGCGGGCUGACAGAGCGCUGAGUGACAGCGCAGAAGCUUUUAAAAGCCAGAAGAGGAGAGUAGGUCACAAACACCUACAUGAAAUUAUUAGUGAUCUUGCUGCAGAUUUUCUUUAUUUUCAUCAGUAUUUUAUAAAGAUGUGGAAGCACGGUGGACAUGAGGAACCAAACUGAAUCACAGACAUAAACCAAGAAGAUUGAUAAACAAAUAAACACAUUUUCCAGAAUGAGUAUUAGUCACUGUUUGUGUCAUUCUGCAGUUAACAUGAACAAACCCACCCACGCGCACAGACCGUGACCUGUCACAUCAUCUGGUGGAGGAAUCAGUGGAAUCAGCAGGACGCCCGUCGCAGGCCUUCGGUUUGAACCCUGUGGACGUGCCGCUGCUCUGGGAUCAGUUCAGGGCAGUCACGUUGAGGAGCCGAGCAGGAAGGACGUCCACGGUGCGCUGCAAGUGGAGCAGAGCUGCUGGCUGGAGGAAAGGGGGCGACGGUGGAGGCACAAAAGGAUGUCAUCUGCUGGGUAUUUUUAGAGCGUGAGGUGCACUGAUAACUGGCUGCCACCGCAAUCCGCAGGUUCCCACUGAUGAAAGUGUAACUCCGCUCACACUGCGGUGAAAUCCUGCCACAGCUCUGCUUUACUCGCCGGCGAGUUCACUCUGUGAUCGUUUUCUGUGUCCACAUCAACCUUGAAACCUCUUAUGAAUUCACCGUGAGAACAAGGACAAAAUAUACAUUUCUGCCAACGUGCCUUCAGCAGUCUGCCUCCUGCAAAGUACUCACUCAAUCAAAUAUGGGUUGUUUAUUACAGAUUGAACACCAAAUUUACAACUUUCUUCAUUUUUCAAAAAAUCUACUAGAUAAUAAUUAGCUAAGAAUUAUGUCUUUUUUCUGACUUUCUGAAGCCACUGAAGGAAUGUAAUAUAUGGAAACUAUCUCAAAAGGAAUGUUCACUUAAUCUGGAAAAGACUGUUGACUGACUAAGUUUCUGAUUAGAGUUUAAAUAAAAAGAUAUCAGUUGGA
Molecule: long non-coding RNA, 2737 nt
Organism: Betta splendens (Siamese fighting fish)
Lineage: Eukaryota; Metazoa; Chordata; Actinopteri; Anabantiformes; Osphronemidae
Exons: 3
Source: RefSeq, a predicted model, not a curated record